CUCCUCCCCCUCCUUCCCCCCGCCUCCCCGACGUGGAGAGGGAGUGGAGACAGCGGGCGCUGCCGCCGCUGCUGCUGCCGCCCCUCUCCGCGCCGGUCCCGCCGCUCCGCGCCCUGCCACACGCCUCGCCUCGGCGCGGCCGGGCUCGCCUCAGCGCGGCUCGGCUCGGCUCGGCGCGGCACAGCGCAGCCCGCCGGCGCUCGCCGCCCCUCGCUCGGCACGGCGGGGCAGAGCUCGCCGGCCCCAAGCGAGGGGGAACGGUGCAACCUGUUGGCUGAGGCGGGCAACUGCAGCCGGCGCUGGGGCGCGGAGGGGCCGCCCGCCGCCUCGCCCGUCAGGGCGGCCCUCGCCCGCUCCCCGAGGGCCCCGGGCCGGUGCCGCCGGGGGCAGCGCGGCGCUGGGCGGGGGGGGCCCACGGGGGGCCCACCCGCGGGGUGCGGCGGGCCGGCGGGCGCCAGCCCGGGGUGACUGCGCUGAGGAAGCCGCCGAGGCCGCCCCGUUUCUUUCCUCUUUCACUUCCUCAACUUCCUACCGAGGGGGGCAGCGCCCCGGGCGGCAGCUCUGAGGCGGCCGGACCCCCCACCCCUCCCCACCGGCCGCUUCCACGGCGCCUCAGCGGCCGCCCCGCGGGGCCCGGCCCGGCCGUUCCCCCUCUCCCACCCGUGCCGUGACGGCUGGGCAGCCUCUGCCCGGGCUGCCCCCGCCACGGGGGAAGGGACGAGGGCCCCGCGGGGCAGCCGCCCCUCCGCCGAGCCAAGUUUGGGGCGGGGCCGCUGGAAAGUGGCAAAAAAAGCCCUGGGAAAGGCACCCUGGAGCUCGUUGGACAGCUCUAGAGGAGGGUGUGAGGUGGGAUGGGCGGCGUGGGGGCAAACCCCUGUAAAGAGACCCCAAAACCCCGUCAAAAUAGCUGAGGGAACAAGAAACGGAGGAGGCAGGGGGAGAGGCGCAGGUUUGUCCCCUGGCAGGCACUAAAAAGGAACCGGGUAGCGCGCCGAAGUUGGAUGUAGACCACAGAGGCAUCAGAGACCGAGGUGCUGAUGGUGGGACAUCCCCAGCAGCUGGGUCUGCCUGCUCCUGGGACAGCCCUGCUUCACCCCAGCGCCGUUGGAACAUGUUUCUGGGCAAGAAAAGACCAGAAAUUGUCAGUACAGAAGCAGACCUGGAGUUAAAAAUAUCAAUGAAGUAAAACAUCAAAGUAGAAAAUGCUGCUGCCUUGGAGAAGCGGAGAAAGAGCCAAGGGGGAAGAGGUUGCCCUUCCAUAGCAGAGCAAGAGAUCCUCUUGGUUUGGGCUUUCCUGGAACUGACAGAAGUUCAGGCAAACGGGGGGAAGAGAAACGGCGAUUGUUUUGUUUAUGAAGAUAACCAUCGUUCUGAUUUGGAACGAUUAAAUGAACUUGGAGAUAACGACCAGAUAAUGCUCGCACUGGGACUCUGUUGACAAGCAGUUAGUAUCUAGAAAUGGUUAUUAUGGCACCCAAUAAAUUACAUAAUACUGGUUACAUCAAUAAAACGUGGUUUUGUCUUUC
Phalacrocorax carbo (great cormorant) is the source of this 1526-nucleotide non-coding RNA. Lineage: Eukaryota; Metazoa; Chordata; Aves; Suliformes; Phalacrocoracidae. The record is from RefSeq and is a predicted model, not a curated record.